Siniperca chuatsi (mandarin fish) is the source of this 491-nucleotide long non-coding RNA. RefSeq lists it as uncharacterized. The transcript is spliced from 3 exons. The record is from RefSeq and is a predicted model, not a curated record. NCBI's taxonomy places the organism in Eukaryota, Metazoa, Chordata, Actinopteri, Centrarchiformes, Sinipercidae.
UCAUGUUAUGGGUUACACUGCUUCUCCUUCAACAUGGAUAUACGCUGACGCCAGUGUCCACAGUUCAACUUGGUGAACCUGUGACCUUCACAUGUAUUUUGCCUGAUCCACUGAACAAUAGAUUGUACUGGUACAAACAGCGUGCUGGGGAUAUUCUUAAAUUAAUUGUGACACUGCGGAAACAAGUAAACCCUGAUUAUGGAACCGAGUUUUCCCUCUCUAGAAUCGAUGUAAAAAUUUCUAAAAAUAUUUGCAACCUGACCAUUUUGAGGACAAUCCAAGAAGAUGAGGGAAUGUAUCACUGUGAAGUCAUGGACUCAUGGAUUAACAUGACUUGGAGUGGGACCUAUUUGUCUUUAAAAGGAAACACUCAGAGGACAUCAAACUAUACAGCAAGUUCUGAAUUUAUUGCGCUGGUGAUAGCAAUAGUCUGCUUGGUCAUUUCUAUUGUUGGAAAUAUUGUUUUCAUCUGUCACCGAACUCCAAGAGGC